Molecule: ribosomal RNA, 459 nt
Filed under: uncultured bacterium
Lineage: Bacteria
Description: partial 16S ribosomal RNA
Rfam family: Bacterial small subunit ribosomal RNA
Source: RNAcentral
CCUACGGGCGGCAGCAGUGAGGAAUAUUGGUCAAUGGGCGGGAGCCUGAACCAGCCAAGCCGCGUGAAGGAAGAAGGCGCCAAGCGUCGUAAACUUCUUUUGUCGGGGAACAAAGGGCGCCACGUGUGGCGUUGUGAGCGUACCCGAAGAAAAAGCAUCGGCUAACUCCGGGCCAGCAGCCGCGGUAAUUCGGAGGAUGCGAGCGUUAUCCGGAUUUAUUGGGUUGAAAGGGUGCGUAGGCGGUCCGGAAAGUCAGCGGUAAAAGCCCGGGGCUAAACCCCGGCGAGCCGUUGAAACUGUCGGACUUGAGACGGCGAGAGGCACGCGGAAUGCGCGGUGUAGCGGUGAAAUGCAUAGAUAUCGCGCAGAACUCCUGUUGCGAAGGCAGCGUACCGGCGCCGGACUGACGCUGAGGCACGAAAGCGUGGGUAUCGAACAGGAUUAGAUACCCCUGUAGUC